CCUACGGGGGGCAGCAGUGAGGAAUAUUGGUCAAUGGCCGCGAGGCUGAACCAGCCAAGUCGCGUGAGGGAAGACGGCCCUACGGGUUGUAAACCUCUUUUGUCGGGGAGCAAAGCGAACCACGUGUGGUUCAUUGAGAGUACCCUAAGAAAAAGCAUCGGCUAACUCCGUUCCAGCAGCCGCGGUAAUACGGAGGAUGCUAGCGUUAUCCGGUUUUAUUGGGUUUAAAGGGUGCGCAGGCGGAGGUGCAAGUCAGCGGUAAAAUUGCGGGGCUCAACCCCGUACUGCCGUUGAAACUGCAUCCCUUGAGUGCGCGAGAAGUAGGCGGAAUGCGUGGUGUAGCGGUGAAAUGCAUAGAUAUCACGCAGAACUCCGAUUGCGAAGGCAGCAUACCGGCGCGCAACUGACGCUGAUGCACGAAAGCGUGGGUAUCGAACAGGAUUAGAUACCCUUGUAGUC
RNAcentral lists this ribosomal RNA (459 nucleotides) under uncultured bacterium. RNAcentral's name for it is "partial 16S ribosomal RNA". It matches the Rfam family "Bacterial small subunit ribosomal RNA", at positions 338 to 795 of the family's 1533-position model. The record is from RNAcentral.